This 169-nucleotide unclassified non-coding RNA is filed under the name Plectosphaerella oratosquillae. Its description in RNAcentral is "partial internal transcribed spacer 2". Lineage: Eukaryota; Fungi; Ascomycota; Sordariomycetes; Glomerellales; Plectosphaerellaceae. The record is from RNAcentral.
CAACCCUCGAGCCCCCGUGGCCCGGCGUUGGGGAUCUGCCACGGCAGGCCCCUAAAACCAGUGGCGGACCCGCUGGGCCCUCUCCUUUGCGUAGUAGCAUCAGCCUCGCAUCGGGAGCCCUCGGCGUCCUGCCUCUAAACCCCCCACAAGCCCGCUCCGGCGGCACCAA